RNAcentral lists this long non-coding RNA (642 nucleotides) under Anas platyrhynchos platyrhynchos (common mallard). Its description in RNAcentral is "lncRNA (ENSAPLG00000025131.1)". Lineage: Eukaryota; Metazoa; Chordata; Aves; Anseriformes; Anatidae. The record is from RNAcentral.
AAUCUUAGAUUCACAUCAGCUGGACCAUGUCCUUUUGUAUGUUAACACCUUACUUAUGUUCAUGCAGGAUUUCUGGGUCUUCUGCAUUACUACACUGUUGUAUGGACUACCUAGCACCCAUUUUCAUGACAUACUAAAAGUACUUGUGGCUUGCUGGUAUUCUUCCCUAUCAGUUAAAUAGGAAACAGAGCACAAGUUUUCUUUGCUCUAAGACAGUUCCUGCUUGGUAGUCAACUACUGCAGUGUCCUUUGAUUCUCAAAUCAUCUGAGUUUGGAAUGUUGCGAUUUCAUUUGGAGAAAGCAGCAACUGCAUCUGUUCAUUUGGAGUACACAUACUGGGCGCUGGUGAAAUAUGAAAGCUAGUGGCUUAUCAAAGCCCCACUGGACAGUAAUGCAGUAUUCCAAGUACCAUAGUUCUGAUUUUUCCAGUCACUGUCCUGAUAUCUUCUCUGGGAAUUAUGAUUGCAUAUUGCAGAUAGAGAACAAAUAUUCUUCAAUGCAAGUAACAUAUUUUGAAUUCUUUAAACAGACUUACUGCAUAAGUUCUAUCUAAUUUAAAAUAUCUGUAAAUAGAUUAUCUGCAUUUUUAUUCGAGUUCUGUGUGAGGUGUAUUAUAUUUAUUUUAUAAAAUUUAAUAAAAAU